Molecule: unclassified non-coding RNA, 2812 nt
Filed under: Hevea brasiliensis (rubber tree)
Lineage: Eukaryota; Viridiplantae; Streptophyta; Magnoliopsida; Malpighiales; Euphorbiaceae
Source: RNAcentral
AAUACCGGAAUUGUUGCCUUCCCUAACGCAUACAUGGAAAGAAAUCAAGAUUAAAUAACUCUUAAACGUGUGUAAUAAUGAAGAUGGUGCCUUGUUUUGAAACCGUGUUUCUAGUUUCUACUGCUAACUAUUUUCUUCACCUACAGCAUCGACUUGCUUGCUUCUGCGACUGCUACUAACACUGUGCCUUUCUUGCAAUAUUAAAUGCACCCUCCUUUCUUCUUUCUUUCGCAAUCAUAUCUCCUGUAAAACAAUCCCUUCUUGAUCACUUUUCUUUUUCUCUCUGCUUUCGCUUCUUUGGAAUUGAAAUGAAGUUGCUUUUUUGUUUGUAUUUGUGGGUUCUGUGUGGUCGAGGACUGCUGGUUAUGGCUGCAAGUAGUGACAGUAGCAGUGCGCAGAGGAAGCUUGAUCAGACACCCACAUGGGCUGUUGCUGGUGUUUGUGCUGUUAUGAUCAUCAUUUCUAUUCUCUUGGAAAAGGGUCUUCACAAAUUUGGAACGGUAUGCGUAAAAUAUUCUCUUCAACACUCUUGUUUUUUCGAUUUGCUACUUCUUUUUUCAUGCUCUUGGUAAUCUUGACGUUUUGCUCACAUGGGUUUUUGUUCUUGCUUCUCUUUAAUUUGAACGUUACGGCCUUAAUUCUUUAGUCCUUUUCCUUAAUCGUUUCGCAAUCCUAAGUCCUUUUUCCUUAAUUGUGUCACAAUCCUUCACUCUUUUGGUGGUUGGGAGGUCUGAACUAUUAAUGCUUUCAGCUUCUUCAACUCUGUAGACAAGAACUAAAGUCAGAUUUAAAAAAUUGAGAAGGCUAUCUCUCUCUGUCACCAUUAAUUUUGAUUAGACUUUUUCACUUAUCAAUACUUCACGUCUUGAGACGGGAUUAAUGCGUUCUUACUUUCUCCUGCUGGCCUUGCCUUAAACUUUCGCUUUCAAUUGAACUUAUCGUGCCGGAUAAAAAUUAAUUGGAACUACUCUUCUUUUUCCGCAUCAAGCUUUUAGCUUUGUGCAAUGGUUGACAGAAAGGCACAAGAGAGCUUUAUUUGAAGCCUUGGAGAAAGUUAAAGCUGAGCUAAUGGUUCUAGGAUUCAUUUCACUGCUCCUUACUUUUGGGCAGACAUACAUUAUCAAAAUAUGUAUUCCCCAGAAUGUUGCAGACACUAUGUUGCCAUGCCGAGCUGAUGGUGAAAAUGACCAAACUGAAGAACAUCGUCGAAGGCUUUUGUGGUUUGAGCAUAGAUUUCUAGCAGGUGCUGAAACCACUAGUAAAUGCAAAACGGGGUAUGAACCGCUUAUAACAGUUGACGGAUUGCAUCAGUUACACAUCCUCAUAUUCUUCUUAGCAGUCUUCCAUGUGUUAUAUAGUUUAACUACAAUGAUGCUUGGAAGACUAAAGAUUCGUGGUUGGAAGGAAUGGGAGCAGGAGACUUCAUCCCAUGAUUAUGAGUUUUCAAAUGAUCCUUCAAGAUUCAGGCUUACUCAUGAGACCUCUUUUGUGAGAGCGCAUACUAGUUUCUGGACUAGAAUUCCUUUCUUCUUCUAUAUUGGAUGCUUCUUCCGACAAUUUUUUAGGUCUGUUAGCAAAGCUGAUUACCUGACAUUGCGGAAUGGAUUUAUCACAGUCCAUUUAGCUCCUGGAAGUAAGUUUAACUUUCAAAAAUACAUCAAAAGGUCAUUAGAGGAUGAUUUCAAGGUUGUUGUGGGAGUAAGUCCAAUUUUGUGGGCAUCCUUUGUCAUUUUCCUGCUCCUAAAUGUGAAAGGAUGGCAAGCAUUAUUUUGGGCUUCUACGAUCCCUGUGAUUAUAAUCUUAGCUGUUGGGACAGAGCUUCAAGCUAUUCUGACAAUGAUGGCUCUUGAAAUUUCAGAAAGACAUGCAGUGGUACAAGGAAUGCCUCUUGUGCAAGGCUCAGACAAAUAUUUUUGGUUCGGUCGGCCUCAGUUAGUUCUUCAUCUUAUCCAUUUUGCUUUAUUUCAGAAUGCUUUCCAAAUAACAUAUUUCCUGUGGAUAUGGUAUUCAUUCGGAUUAAAAUCUUGCUUCCAUGCCAAUUUCAAGCUUGCUAUAGCAAAGGUUGCUUUAGGGGCUGGGGUCUUAGUUCUCUGCAGCUACAUUACACUUCCAUUAUAUGCCCUUGUAACUCAGAUGGGUUCACAUAUGAAGAAAUCAAUCUUUGAUGAACAAACAAGUAAGGCCCUUAAGAAGUGGCAUAUGGCUGUGAAAAAGAGGCACAAGAAAGGAGGGAAGUCUCCCACUAUGACUUUGGGUGGAAGUGCAAGUCCAGUCUCAACAGUACACUCUUCUGGACACACACUGCACCGUUUCAAAACCACUGGACACUCAAGCCGCUCAUCAUACGCCUAUGAGGACCAGGAAAUGUCUGAUAUGGAAGCUGAGACAUUGUCACCCACAUCGUCCACAACCAACUUGAUUGUAAGAACCAGCCAAGAUGAUGAAGCUGCUGAAUUAAGCGAACCCCACCACGACGAAGAAACAAGCAAUGAAGAUGACUUCUCUUUUGUCAAGCCUGCUGUACCGAAACAGCCAUGAAGAGGCAAAAUUUUCCAUGUAUAUGCCAUGGCACCCCUUUGUACCUGUAGGUCUGAGAAAACAUUAUAGUUGUAUGAACGCAGUUUGCUAAAUACAGCAGCUUUUUUUUCUGCUUGUCCAUAUUUACUGGAUUUAGCAUCCAGCAGUUCUCCUUCAUCAUGUACUCUACAUUUUGAUUCAGCCAGGAUGAACUAGGAGAUUCAACUCAAAGCUAUUCGGAACAUUUAUAUUUUGUUUCAGAAAUAUUAUACAAUAGCAAUAUUUUAGUGUAAAA